CGAAAGCCUGACGGAGCAAGACCGCGUGAGGGAGGAAGGCUCUUGGGCUGUCAACCACUUUUCUCAGGGAAGAAGUUCUGACGGUACCUGAGGAAUCAGCCUCGGCUAACUCCGUGCCAGCAGCCGCGGUAAGACGGAGGAUGCAAGCGUUAUUCGGAAUUAUUGGGCGUAAAGCGUCCGCAGGGGGCUCAUCAAGUCUGCUGUCAAAGCACGGGGCUUAACUCCGUUAAGGCAGUGGAAACUGAAUAGCUAGAGUGCCGUAGGGGUAGAGGGAAUUCCCGGUGUAGCGGUGAAAUGCGUAGAGAUCGGGAAGAACAUCGGUGGCGAAAGCGCUCUACUGGACGGCAACUGACACUCAGGGACGAAAGCUAGGGGAGCG
This 379-nucleotide ribosomal RNA is filed under the name uncultured cyanobacterium. RNAcentral describes it as "bacterial SSU rRNA". It matches the Rfam family "Bacterial small subunit ribosomal RNA", at positions 376 to 770 of the family's 1533-position model. Lineage: Bacteria; Bacillati; Cyanobacteriota. The record is from RNAcentral.